Molecule: long non-coding RNA, 915 nt
Filed under: Nicotiana benthamiana
Lineage: Eukaryota; Viridiplantae; Streptophyta; Magnoliopsida; Solanales; Solanaceae
Description: long non-coding RNA (NBEN_LNC026977)
Source: RNAcentral
CUUAGUUAAUUUUUCCCUUUCGUCCUUUACCCAGUGUUUUAAUGUUGCCAAUCAGUAGAAAUGGUAAUCCCUUAUAUGAUGGGGAAAAAAUGUUAGAACUUUGGCAUUAGGGUCAAGCUUACUAUUGCGGUGGUGUCAGAAUUAGUUUCUCUUGUUAUAACUCUUGGUUUUGUGAUGCUUUGCUAGCGAACCUAUAGUUUUGAAUUCUUUUACAUAUGGGGUUUGGCUAAUGAUCUUGAUUAUACUGGUGUUUGACUGCUCAUCACUUUCCUUGCAGGUUAAAGAGUUCUUUAAUUUUCUAUAUGAGAAACUGAAGCUCAAGCAAAUAAUUCAACCUCCUAUUAUAGCUUCUGUAAGUUCAAUAUCUUGGGAUGGAUCCACAUAAAGAGCUCUUUUCAAUUUCACUGACUCUAUCUGUGUGCUCCAUAUUGUAAAUUUGAACAUCGAUAAACUAUAUAAUGAAUCAUAUUUCAGCUGCACAACGCUUAUCAUGAAUCCGCAUAAAGAGCUCUCUUCAAUCAUAUGUGUGCUCCAUAUUAUAAAUUUGAACAUUGAUUAACUAUAUAAUGAAUCACCUUUCACCUGCAAAAUGCUUUAUCCUUUUGAUUUUCUACUGUGCAAAGUUGCAUUGAGACAAUUCUGUAGUCUUAUACUCUGAUUUCCCAACUUGCUAAUGUGUUACUUACGAAACUGCGGCAACUAAAACUCCAUUUAGCUGUGAGAUUUACUCAAGUAAUUUUGACUUUCAAAAAUAAAAUACUCUCCCAUGAAUAUUUUAACUGUUCUUCAGAUCGACAAUGUUUAGUUCUGGGACCUUUUGGGGGCCAAUGAGGAGCUGAACUGCAUAAUUCACUUAUAUAGUUGUCAACUAGAACAAUUUUGAUUUCAGAUUGCUAAAUUGCAUGUUCUUUCAAC